This 186-nucleotide unclassified non-coding RNA is filed under the name uncultured fungus. Its description in RNAcentral is "sequence contains ITS1, 5.8S rRNA gene". Lineage: Eukaryota; Fungi. The record is from RNAcentral.
CCUAGCGAGCGCCUGUCCGGGCCAGAUCUUUAGGUCUGCGCCUUGGUAGGCGUAUCCACAACCCGUGUUUACAUACUCUUGUUGCUUUGGCGGGCCGUGGUUUCCCACUACGGGCUCAGCUCGUACGUGCCCGCCAGGGGACCAAACUCUGUAUAUUAGUGAUGUCUGAGAACUAUAUAAUAGUUA